GUGCGAGCAGCCGCGGUAAUACCGGCAGCCCGAGUGAUGGCCGAUCUUAUUGGGCCUAAAGCGUCCGUAGCUGGCCGCGCAAGUCCAUCGGGAAAUCCACCCGCCCAACGUGUGGGCGUCCGGCGAAAACUGUGUGGCUUGGAACCGGAAGGCUCAGAGGGUACGUCCGGGGUAGGAGUGAAAUCCCAUAAUCCCGCACGGACCACCGAUGGCGAAAGCACUUCGAGAAAACGGAUCCGACAGUGAGGGACGAAAGCCAGGGUCUCCAACCGGAUUAGAUACCCUAGUAGUCC
RNAcentral lists this ribosomal RNA (293 nucleotides) under uncultured bacterium. RNAcentral's name for it is "partial 16S ribosomal RNA". It matches the Rfam family "Archaeal small subunit ribosomal RNA", at positions 455 to 747 of the family's 1478-position model. The record is from RNAcentral.